CGCUCCCGAGGCCACGUGACCUCCCCCCUCUUCCAAAGCCAUGGCGGCAGUGACCGAAGAUCUCCACUUCGGGCCCGCAGCGGGCACCCGCUUCUUCUGCACCGCGAGCCGCGGCCUGGAGCCCUUCCUGCUGCGGGAGGUGCGGACGCGGCUGAGGGCCACGCAGGUAAUUCUACCCUUCCCACCCGGGUCUCCUUCGGCAACCAGCUGCCUGCCAGCCCCUGCCCGCCACUUGCGGGGACGCGCCGCGCGCGCCCGAGGCCACGUGACCCUGAAAGCCAUGGCGGUAGCGACGGGAGAUCCCCGCUUCGGGCCUGCAGUGGGCGCCCGCUUCUUCUGCACCGCGAGCCGCGGCCUAGAGCCCUUCCUGCUGCAGGAGGUGCGGGCGCGGCUGAGGGCCACGCAGGUUGAAUAUAUUUCAGGAAAAGUUUUUUUCACCACCUGUUGUGACUUGAAUAUGCUGAAAAGAUUAAAAUCUGCUGAAAGAUUAUUUUUGCUGAUUAAAAAGCAGUUUCCAUUUAAUGUUUCUUCUGUAAGUAAAGGACAAAUAUUUAAUGAAAUGGAAAAACUUAUAAACGAUGAUCCUGAAAAUUGGUUGAAUACUCUUUCAAUCUGGAAAAAUCUUCUUGAAUUUGAUGCAAAAGAGGAAGAACUUUCUCAAAAAGAUGUUAACUCACUAAAAAGAAAAGUGGGAGAAGAUGAUAAUACCAUUGCUAAGAAAGUAAAAACAGAACAAGUGCAGGAGAUACACGAGAAUAAGGAAUGCCAGCGAGAAAAACAAACAGAAGAAACACUGGAGCAAGGAAACUGUAUCACUCAAAGAGAAGAACUUCAAGAAGAAGAACUUCAGAAUGAUGCAGUGGAAGCGGUCGAUACUCCUACUAAAGGGAAGCACUUGACUUUCAGAGUUUCUUGUCGCUGCAGUGGAGCCAUUGCAAAGACCUUCACGACACAGGAGAUAGGAAGAGUAAUUGGAAUUGCUCUUAAGAAACAGUUUGGAUGGAAAGUAGAUUUGAGGAAUCCAAAUUUAGAGAUCUUUAUACAUUUAAGUGACAUUUACUCUGUGGUGGGAAUUCCUGUUUUCAGGGUUCCUUUAGCCAGCAGAGCUUACAUCAAGACAGCUGGACUGAGAUCCACCAUAGCAUGGGCAAUGGCGUCUCUUGCAGAAAUUAAGGCUGGUGCAUUUGUUUUAGAUCCAAUGUGUGGACUUGGAACAAUACUUUUGGAGGCUGCAAAAGAAUGGCCAGAUGUGUAUUAUGUGGGUGCUGAUGUCAGUGACUCACAGUUACUAGGUGCGUCUGACAAUCUGAAAGCUGCAGGCCUUAAGGAUAAAAUCGAGUUACUUAAAGGCUCUGUUAUAGCACUACUUACAAUAACCAAGACAUGGAAGCAGCCUCAAUGUCCACGGACAGAGGAAUGGAUAAAGAAGAUGUACAUAAAUGCAAUGGAAUAUUACUCGGCCAUAAAAAAAUGAAAUAAUGCCAUUUGCAGCAACGUGGAUGGACCUAGAAAUUACAUACUAAAUGAAAAUUGCCAUUACCUUCAGAAAGUGUUGAUAUUAUUAUUUCUGACAUUCCAUUUGGGAAAAAGUUUAAGUUAGGAAAAGAUAUCAAAAGCAUUCUGCAAGAAAUGGAAAGAGUGCUUCAUGUUGGCGGGACCAUCGUGUUGCUGCUUAGUGGAGACCACCUCAGGCGCCUUAAAGGUUGUGAAGAGAGCAGCGUCUCCUUGUGUCCCAAGGGCAGCCGCACAGAUGAACCUGGAAGUGAAGAAUGCUUGAAUCCUGAAGAGAAAGCUGCCGUACCAGAGCCAGCAUGGUCUUCACUUGAAGCCAGUAACCAGGAACACUUGGACAGAAUGCCACCCUUUGGCUCUUUAGUGCCAGUGGAAUGCUACAAAGUUAGCCUGGGAAAACCAGAUGCAUUCAUAUACAAAUAUAAGAAGUCGCACUCCCCUGGGCAAUAGCAGGUCUGCCGGGUUCAAGUCCUCAUUUGUCAGCGGUACAGCCUAGAAGAGGGUGGUCUCUGGGAUCUUGACAGUGCCAGAGGGUUGCAAGUAAACAGACCUCGAUCCUCACAAGUUUGGGAAUAUGUACACUAUCAGAAUUUCUGAAACAUAGAAACUUUUAUGUUUUGUUUUGGUAUCAACUUCUUUUGAUAUUAAACUUGAUUUUUUGAAGCUGUCAUUUUGUUCUCCACUGGAAUGAAAAUAACUUAAUUUGCAGUACAUUUGCUGUGUCCCCUAUUUUAUAAAACAUCAGUGGGAAUAAUAACCCUGUGAGUUAAUAAGCCAGUAUCCCCCAACAUGACAGAAAACAAAACUUUACUUUUUUUCUAAAAGUAUUAAUAAAUUGACACC
This is a non-coding RNA of Sus scrofa (pig), 2355 nucleotides long. The record is from RefSeq and is a predicted model, not a curated record. Lineage: Eukaryota; Metazoa; Chordata; Mammalia; Artiodactyla; Suidae.